RNAcentral lists this ribosomal RNA (492 nucleotides) under uncultured bacterium. Its description in RNAcentral is "partial 16S ribosomal RNA". It matches the Rfam family "Bacterial small subunit ribosomal RNA", at positions 29 to 507 of the family's 1533-position model. The record is from RNAcentral.
AGUGAACGCUGGCGGUAGGCCUAACACAUGCAAGUCGAACGGCAGCACAGUAAGAGCUUGCUCUUACGGGUGGCGAGUGGCGGACGGGUGAGGAAUACAUCGGAAUCUACUUUUUCGUGGGGGAUAACGUAGGGAAGCUUACGCUAAUACCGCAUACGACCUACGGGUGAAAGCAGGGGAUCUUCGGACCUUGCGCGAUUGAAUGAGCCGAUGUCGGAUUAGCUAGUUGGCGGGGUAAAGGCCCACCAAGGCGACGAUCCGUAGCUGGUCUGAGAGGAUGAUCAGCCACACUGGAACUGAGACACGGUCCAGACUCCUACGGGAGGCAGCAGUGGGGAAUAUUGGACAAUGGGCGCAGGCCUGAUCCAGCCAUACCGCGUGGGUGAAGAAGGCCUUCGGGUUGUAAAGCCCUUUUGUUGGGAAAGAAAAGCAGCAGGUUAAUACCCCGCUGUUCUGACGGUACCCAAAGAAUAAGCACCGGCUAACUUCGUG